AAAAAUUUAGUUAAAUAAUAACAUUAACUUGUCAAGUUAAAGUAAAUACUAUAUAUUAAUUUUU
Molecule: transfer RNA, 64 nt
Filed under: Tenebrio molitor (yellow mealworm)
Lineage: Eukaryota; Metazoa; Arthropoda; Insecta; Coleoptera; Tenebrionidae
Description: tRNA-Asp
Source: RNAcentral